ACAGAAUAGCUUAUGUACGAAACGUACCUGCAUAUGGCGGAUGAUCAGUUUGUGUUUAUGUCAAUAAGCAACUAAAAUUUUGGAUUUGCGCGGGUGUGGAUAAAACAUUUUAAAAUAAAUUAUGUGUUUGUGAAGCCUGUGAAUUGUGUGUUAUUUUUGUGAUAAUGUUUUUCUUUGGAAGACUUUUGGGAACACUGAAAUCAUCGGUGUACUAUUAAGGACAUUAUUUUGCGCCCUAAGAUGGAGGCCGACAUCACACCCGCGCGGCCCGGCGCCGGUAAGAUGCGAGAGCGACGUCAGGCGCAAUAUCGCACGGUCUCUCUACUGUUUGCCUGCCUUCUCUUCCUCAAUUGUCAAGUCGACGCCGCCGAUCCGCCUGAGAUCACGAUCCGGCCGAGGAACCUUCAAGUUCGAGCUAACAGCAUCGCAGCGUUCUAUUGCGCGGCACGAGGAGACCCGAUACCUAACAUACAGUGGCGCAAAAACGGAAAGAAAGUUUCCAACAUGCAAACCCGCUACCAAGUAUCGGGCAUGGACGGAGCGGCCGGCCCCGGUGCCAACGGAGCUGUCCUUCGCAUCGAACCAGUGCGGGCGCAACGCGACGACGCGACCUACGAGUGCGUUGCCGAGAACGGCGUUGGCGACGCUGUCACUGCCGUAGCUACGUUGACGGUGUUCGAAGUUGAUAAAGUCCCGCCCGGUUUCCCGAGCAUUUCGCCGCCCUCCACCAUGAUGGUCGUCGAGAUUGGCCACACGGCUACCCUGCCCUGCCAAGCUACCGGGAACCCAACGCCCAAAAUAAGAUGGCUUCGGAACUCCUUGCCACUGGACGUCGCUUCGAAUCCAAGAUACGCUCUGCUCAACGAUAAGAUGCAUGGCACACUGCAAAUAGUGAAGAGUGAAGAGGAUGACAAUGGCAAAUUUGAAUGUAUCGCGGAAAACUCGAUUGGAACUGAAUUCUCUAAGCCCACGGUUCUAUACGUGAAAGUACGAAGAGUCGCACCCCAGUUUUCGAUACCACCCCCUCCCCGCUCAGAAGUGAUGCUCGGUGGAAACCUGACUUUGAAAUGCGUUGCUUUCGGAGCACCGAUGCCUACUGUUAAAUGGAGGAAAGGAUUAACGAAAUGGUUGACCCCGGAGGAUAAUCCUCCUCUAGGGCUGAACAACCUUGAAUUAAGAGACAUCAGAGAAUCUGCCAACUACACUUGCGAAGCAGCCAGCGUGCUUGGAGUCAUUGAAGCCACAGCCGAAGUCAAAGUUCAAUCAUUACCUGGAGCCCCCACUGAAGUUAGACCUUCCGAAGUUACAGCGACCGCAGUUCGCCUGUCAUGGACAUAUAACGGCCCAGAAGAACCCCAGUACUAUGUCAUACAGUACAAACCUAAAAACGCUCAUCAGGCCUUCAGCGAGAUAUCUGGAGUGAUCACCCAAUACUACUCCGUUACGAAUCUAUCGCCUUACACUGAAUACGAGAUGUACGUCAUUGCGGUCAACAACAUCGGCAGGGGACCUCCGUCUUCACCGGCGGUCAUCAGUACCGGAGAAACAGUGGAUUCUGUAUAUGGAGGCGCCAAGCCCGGUUCAGCGCCGAAGAAUGUUCAAGUCCGUCCACUCAGCUCCAGCACGAUGGUGAUACAAUGGGAAGAACCGGAGACGCCUAACGGUCAAGUCACCGGCUACAAGAUAUUUUACACUACGGAUCCAUCGCAACCUUUACAGUCUUGGCACUCUCAUAUGAUGGACAACAGUCACUUGACAACGAUAAGCGAGCUAACCCCACACACGGUGUACACGAUAAGAGUGCAAGCGUAUACAUCCGUUGGACCCGGUCCGAUAUCUGCUCCAGUUCAAGUGAAAACCCAACAAGGAGUACCGUCGCAGCCAUCGAACCUCGUUGCCACGGAAGCUGGUGAAACAUCUGUGACUCUGUCGUGGAAACGACCAGCUCACGCCGGCGACAACAUCGUCUCUUACGAACUCUAUUGGAACGAUACGUACGCUAAGGAGCAUCAUAAAAAACGCAUCCCGAUAACGGAGACAUACACCCUGAACGGUCUGUAUCCGAAUACGUUGUACUACAUCUGGCUAGCGGCGAGGUCUCAGCGAGGGGAAGGCGCCACCACACCCGCCAUAGCCGUCAGAACCAAACAGUAUGUUCCCGGGGCGCCGCCGAUGAACGUGACCGCGGUGCCGAUCUCGCCGACUGCCGUGCGCGUGUCAUGGCAGCCGCCACCCGCCGAGCGCGCCAAUGGGAGAAUCGCGUACUACAAGCUACUAUGCGUCGAGUCCGGCAGGGGAGAUUCGGAGGCUUCCAUCUUGAAACUCAAACAGAACCAAACGUCUGUCGUUUUGGAUGAAUUGAGACGUUGGACGGAAUAUCGCAUCUGGGUGCUGGCGGGUACCAGCGUGGGCGAUGGACCCGCCUCCUACCCGGUCACUGUACGCACGCAUGAAGACGUGCCUGGUGAACCACAAGACGUCAAGGUGACAGCCAUCAACUCAACCUCUAUCCAUGUUACGUGGAAGCCGCCACAUGAUAAAGAUAAAAACGGAAUCAUCAGGGGCUAUCAUGUUCACGUCCAAGAAGUUAGAGAAGAAGGGAAAGGUCUUCUCAACGACCCCAUGCGUUUCAAUGUAAUGGAUGACACGACAUUGGAACUGAACGUUUCUGGCCUCCAACCGGACACACGGUACAAUGUUCAGGUUGCCGCGCUGACAAGGAAAGGAGACGGCGACCGGAGUCCACCAGUAUCUGUCAAAACCCCUGGCGGAGUGCCAAACAGACCCACCGUUAGUCUAAAAAUCCUGGAACGCGAACCAAUAGUUUCUAUCGAAUUAGAUUGGGCGAGACCUACACAGACAUACGGAGACUUACUUGGAUAUCGAUUACGAUUCGGAAUUAAAGAUCAGCCGUUAGAGGAAAUCAAUUUCCCUGGUACCAAAGUGACGUCACAUAGAAUAAGUGAUUUAGAACGAGGAGUUCAGUAUGAGUUUAGAAUAGCAGGAACAAAUCAAAUAGGCGUCGGACAAGAAACUAUAAAGUACAUGUUGACUCCAGAAGGUGCUCCUAAGGGACCUCCAACUAAUGUUACAUAUCAUUUCCAAACUCCCGAUAUCAUAAGUAUAACCUGGGAACCCCCUGUAAGAGCGGACAGAAGUGGCCAAAUUAAGAAAUAUGACGUCCAAUUUUAUAAAAGAGGAGAUCAGUCGUCAUUAUUAGAAAAAACCACUAACCAAACGAAGGCCGUAUUCACGGGUCUGGAAGAGGACGCACAUUACGUAUUUAAGGUUCGUGCGUAUACUGAUCAGGGGCCUGGACCCUACAGCAAAGAUAUGACUGCUCAUACCGAAAGAGAUAUCGGAAGAGCACCCAUGUCCGUCAAAGCUGUCGCCACCUCAGAGUCAAGCGUCGAAGUAUGGUGGGAAACAUUCCGUUCCAGAAAGAAGAUAAUAGGCUAUGUCUUAUUUUAUACUAUGACGCCGGUUGAAGAUUUGGACGAAUGGCAACAAAAGAGUAUACAUGUAACACAUUCGGCUGAUUUGGAAAAUCUGGAAACGUUUGCGGAGUAUGCUAUAGCAGUGGCUGCUAAAACAGCGGACGGAUUGGGAAGGCUGUCGGAAAAGGUUACUGUUAAAGUUAAACCAGAAGAAGUGCCUUUACACCUAAGAGCUCAGGACGUGUCUACACAUUCUAUGACUCUGUCCUGGUCAUCCCCGCUACGAUUAAACCCUGUUAGUUAUAAAAUCUCGUACAAUGCCAUCAAAGAGUUCGUAGACUCGCUCGGUAUGACACAGACUCAAGAGAUACCUAGAAAAGAAAUUAUUGUUAAGCAUAAUAGAACAUCAUUUUCUAUCAACGACUUGUCGCCUUUUACGACUUACAAUGUAAACGUAAGCGCCAUACCGAAUGACGAUUCGUAUCGGCCGCCUAAAAAGAUUACAGUGACGACGCAAAUGGCCGCACCUAAGCCGAUGGUCAAACCAGACUUCUAUGGUGUUGUCGAAAACGAAAUACUCGUAAUUCUACCUCAAGCUUCCGAGGAAUACGGACCUAUCUCCCAUUAUUAUUUAGUCGUAGUACCUGAUGAUAAGUUGCACAAUCACAAGAAUCCGGAUCAGUUCCUAACAGACGACCUAAUCAAGAAUAACAUGAGAACGGACGAUGAAAACGCUCCCUACAUUGCAGCCAAAUUUUUACAGAGAAACAUUUUGUAUACCUUUCACCUCGGCAACGACGAACUGUACGAAGGAUUUUUGAAUAGAAAAUUGAACCUGAACAAAAGGUAUCGAGUGUUUGUAAGAGCAGUAGUAGACACACCUCAGAAACACUUGUAUACAUCAAGUCCAUUUUCGGAAUAUCUGUCUUUGGAUAUGCGAGAAGCUCCUCCGGGUGAGGAACCUAGCAGACCAGAUCCCAAGGAUAUUAAUGGCGAUCCUGAAAUUCGAAUAGAAGAGAACAGGAAAGAGGCGGGCAUGGUUUGGGUUGUCGGGCCGAUAAUAGCCGCCCUAAUGCUUUCGCUUUGCUUAGUGGUGUUGUUCUUUGUAAAGCGGCGGCGUCAACCGUGCAAAACUCCCGAUCAGGCGGCGGUCACCAGACCUUUGAUGUCCGCCGAUGUUGGUUUUGGUGCUCCAUCUGACCCCGUGGAAAUGAGACGAUUAAACUUCCAGACACCCGCGAUGAUCUCUCAUCCGCCUAUUCCGAUUUCUGAACUAGGCGAACACAUUGAUAGACUGAAAGCCAACGACAAUAUGAAAUUCUCUCAAGAAUAUGAGAGUAUCGAGCCAGGACAACAGUUUACUUGGGACCAUUCUAACAUGGAAGUUAACAAACCGAAGAAUCGGUAUGCUAAUGUGAUCGCGUACGACCACAGUCGAGUCAUCCUUCAGCCCAUCGAUGGAAUUCUAGGCAGUGAUUACAUUAAUGCCAAUUAUUGCGACGGCUACCGCAAACAUAACGCAUACGUAGCUACUCAAGGGCCGCUGCAGGAAACUUUUGCGGAUUUCUGGAGAAUGUGUUGGGAGCUACGCACGUCCACGAUUGUUAUGAUGACAAAAUUGGAAGAGAGAACUAGAAUAAAAUGCGACCAAUAUUGGCCGAGCCGCGGCACUGAAUCGUACGGCAUGAUGAGCGUUACCAUUGCCGAAGUUCAAGAACUUUCGACUUAUUCCAUACGUACUUUCCAAGUAUCUAGGAACGGAUGCGCCGAACGUAGAGAAAUCAAACAGCUACAGUUUACGGCUUGGCCGGAUCACGGCGUUCCCGAUCAUCCUGCGCCCUUCCUCCAGUUUUUGAGACGCGUUCGUGCCUUGAAUCCGCCCGAAGCCGGUCCGCUGGUCGUCCACUGUUCCGCCGGGGUGGGUCGUACGGGGUGCUUCAUAGUCAUUGACUCGAUGCUUGAGAGAGCCCGACAUGAGCGCACUGUCGAUAUAUACGGGCACGUGACCUGUCUCCGCGCUCAACGUAACUACAUGGUGCAAACCGAGGACCAAUACAUCUUCAUUCACGACGCCUUACUGGAGGCGGUUAUCUGCGGCGACACGGAAGUGCCGGCGCGCAAUCUGCACGCUCACAUCCAGAAGCUGAUGCGAAUCGACUCUAUCGAGAACAUAACGGGCAUGGAAUUAGAAUUCAAGAAGCUGGCGAACAUGAAGGCGGACUCCAGUAGGUUUGUCUCGGCCAGUUUGCCUUGCAACAAGCACAAGAACAGGCUAGUCCACAUCUUGCCGUACGAGUCUAGUCGGGUCUGCCUGACGCCGCGCGAUGGCUCCGAUUACAUCAACGCGUCGUUCGUUGACGGAUACAGAUACAGGGCGGCGUAUAUCGCCACGCAGGGCCCCCUACCGGACACCACCGACGACUUCUGGCGAAUGCUUUGGGAGCACAACUCAACCAUCAUCGUGAUGCUGACCAAACUGAAGGAAAUGGGCCGGGAAAAAUGUCACCAAUAUUGGCCGUCUGACCGCUCGGUGCGUUACCAGUGCUUCGUAGUGGAUCCGAUUGCCGAAUACAACAUGCCUCAAUACAUUUUGAGGGAAUUUAAGGUCACGGAUGCCCGGGACGGCGCCUCCAGGACGGUCAGACAGUUCCAGUUCACGGACUGGCCCGAACAAGGAGUGCCGAAAAGCGGAGAAGGCUUCAUCGAUUUCCUCGGACAAGUUCACAAGACCAAGGAACAAUUCGGACAGGACGGACCUAUAACUGUGCACUGCAGUGCGGGCGUCGGUCGCACGGGCGUGUUCAUAACUCUGUCAACGGUGUUGGAGCGUAUGCAGUAUGAAGGCGUGGUGGAUGUAUUCCAGACGGUACGCACGCUCCGCACGCAGCGACCCGCCAUCGUGCAGACUGAGGACCAGUACGAGUUCUGCUACCGCGCAGCCCUGGAGUAUCUCGGCUCGUUCGAUCACUACACCAACUGACGGUGCGAUAGGCUCGCUUAAAUUGUCGCGCGCUUUCAUUAUUAUUAUUAUUAUGUAUGUACUUAAUAUUGUAUAUCUCAUAAUAUGGAACUUAGAAGCGCUUUAAUGUUCCUGUUAAAACCGACUAACAUUUAAAAAAAAUAGUAUUUUUUAAUGAUAAACUAUGAUUUAUAUUCACAAAACUGCAAUCCGGAUAAUCCAGAUAAAUAAAUACCGAUUUUUCUGUGCGCAACGAAAAUUCGCUUCUACGUCCCAUAUUAAUAUAUAGAGGUGAGAAAACAAUUUAUAGACAUGAGUUCAACGUAGUUUGUGUAAUCAAACGUAGUCUUAAACUGGCCACUACCCAAUGUAAUCUUACAUUACCAAACUAUACCGGCAACGUUCCUCAAAUCCAUAGUUUCUAUUUGGUAGCUAAUUAUUAUAUAAAACAUUAACAUUCGACGUUGUGAAAAAAAAAAUAGUCUAAAAAAUAAUAACUAAAAUUAUAUGUACUCAAAAUGUCAAAUGAUACAUUAAAAACUUCUUACAAACAAUACGCGGGAAACACGUUCAGUUACGCGCCAAUAUUUGUGACGCAAAAAACCGUGGUAAUGUCAGUGCGUCGAUUUGACUGAUUAUUCAAUACGAAAUGAGGCUAAUUCGUGUAUGAGUGUGUGCCUAAGGGAUGCUACUUACGAUUUAUGAUUAUUAACUAUUGUGACCACUAUUCAAAUCAUGAUUGUGAGUCGAAAGGGUAAUAAACGUAAUUAAAUUAUCCUAAUUAUCGGAAUUAUGAUAGAAAUAAAGCAGGCGUUCACCCUAAACGAUAACUUAUCGAAACGACGGUCGUAACUCUAACCUCAAAAUACAAACAAACAGUAUAGAGCUGUUCAUACUUUUUAAAGGCUCUGGCAAUAGUUGCCAAAUUAAAAAAACGGCUACAGCUCCCGUUAAAUUCCAUAAAAACGAUUUGAACAAGCAUUAUUAAUAAUAAUACAACGUGUAUUUUAAUCAACAUAGUCCAAUAGUGCGAAUAACGUUAAAUUAUAUUUCAACAAUGUUACGAAAAGUCGUAAUCACAAACACGAAAAAGUUAAAACAGACGUGCUAAAAAAAACAUUCAACAAUGUAAUACAGUGAUUCUCAACCACUGUUCCGCGGCACUUUUGUGUGCCGCCAAAUUUCAAAAGUGUGCCGCCAAAUUUUGCGACUAUAUAAUAAUGUUAAUAUUAUUAAAUUAUAUCAUUUUAAAAGAAAAAUAUUUUAAACAUGAAUAUAUGUAUAUUUAAAUCCACAAAAAAAAAAUUAUAGUAUAUUUUAGUUUAUUUCGUAUAUUAAAAUUUUUUGAUAAACUAUUUAAGCAGUGUUGUAGUAAAUAAAUAAAUUUUAUCUUUUUUUUUGUGUGCCGCCAAAUUUUGAAAUCGUCAAAUAUGUGCCGCAACAAAAAAAAGGUUGAGAAUCACUGAUGUAAUAGAACUAUGUAAUGCGCUUAAAAAUCUUGAUAACUUCAUGCGAUAAAUAAAAAUAAAAAUAAAUACGAAAUAUUAUAUCGUGGCAAUUAAUUAUACAGAAGUAAUAUUGUAAAAUGUAAAAAGUUAUUGCAGCUAUAAUUAGAUGUUUAUUUUUCAUAUCGUGUGUUAAUAACGUUUAAGUAGUUGUAAAUUGUGGUAACAUGUUUCAUUAUUGCAAUAUUAUAUAACAAGAUGAUAUGUAUAUUAAAAAAAAAAAAAAAACGAAUCGGCUGUGUCGAGUGAAUAUUAAAUCCUCUGCGUAUUCCGUUAUAAAAUAACGUAUUAUAUUUUAUACGAACAUUAUUUUGCCAAUCACAGUUCUCUUGCCCUGAUUUAAUUGUAAUUUAUAAAAAAAACUCACCAGCUUGCUAACUUUAAAUAGCAUUUACGUUAAAUUCUGACCUCAACGUAUAUUUAGUUGUAAAAGACAAUGUAAACGUAAAAAUGCUAUUCAAUUCUUAUUAUUAUUAUUAUUAUUAUAAUUUCCAAUGCGCUAAUUGCUUGCUUUAGACUUAUGAUAAUAAUUCGAUCACAUAUCUAUUUCGUAGUUAGAUAAUCAUUUUCGGUCGUAAUGGAAUCGACUGAGAAAAAAAUCAUUUUAAAUGUAACACAUUGAACCCUUUUUAAUAAAUUGAAUAAUAAGAACGACUAUGUACUAAUUAAUAUAUUUAUAAUGUGACUGCCACAAACUAUAAUACACUAUAUUAAGCUAUCUUUAAGUGUAGUAUGUUUAAUCUUUUUAAUAAUGUAAUCUCCCUUGCAUAGUGAAACUUUAAGGUUUUUUUUUAGGUUUUUCACUCGUUUUUAUACAAUAAACCUAAUAUUGUAUCUAAGUAAAAUGUUUUUGAGCUUGUAAGUAAUUUAGGAAAAAAAAAAGUGUGGACGCGCGCUCCGAACGCUACGCGAAUAAUUUAAAAGAUCGAGUCAUAAUUCGGUCGGUCUGUUUGAAUAUCUACGAAUCAUUCUAAUUGUGUAUAAGUCUUGUUACGUGAUUACGUGGCAUUGAAUGAAAUGAACGAUCGCAGUCAACAGUAUAAAAAAGUCUGUGGAAACAUUAACGAAGACAGACAGACGGACGUAAUCAGAAAAUUAUAAUAUUUAUGGCAGCGCAGCUUUAUAAGUUCAUAAUCAUUCCUUAUAUUUUAAAUAAUUAUUAUGCCGUAUCACUUAUCGCAGCUAUAGUAAUGGUUAAUUUAAUUUAUUAAUGAGUUUUCAGCUCUGUAUUCUAUUUUUAGAUAUUACUUUUCUAUAUGACGUAACGAUUCAUACGCACACAUACGAUCUCUUGUACAGAAUAACUAACUACACCAUAGACUAAGUUUUUUUUUUAAUUGCGGACUAUUACGUUGACUGUUUUAAUAUAAUAUUUCCUAAAACAAAUAUCGUCUUGAAAAACUAUAAAAUCUUUUAAACCGUUAUAAUUGGUGGUAACAACACAACCAAUAGAAUUAAUGUUUUAUAUUUUUACCAACGUUAGUUUAAUAAUGAAAUUCUACAAUUGUUUUCUUAUAAUCUUAUAAUAUAAUUAUCAACUACUUUUUAAUAGUUUUUAAAUGUGCUGCUAUUAUUUAUAAUUUCAAUUUAAUUAUAUCAAUUUUACUUUUCAAAUCACGAAGACUGAUUUUAUCUAUUGACGUUUUUGAAUGUGUUCGUAAUUGUUUUGACACGUUGUUAUGUAAUAAUCACCAAGUAUUUUAAUUUUGUUGUAAAAUCUCGAUAACUAAAUAUGUAUCUACUGGAUUUCAUUGUUUAUUGUUGCAAUACAAAGUUCAGUUAAAUUCAUUACAACAGACUCUAGUUAGUAAUUCCUUCACUGCGAUUUCUUGAUCACAACUUUCAAAUAAAAUGUCUAAUUCAAUUAACCUAACCGCUAUCAUUAUUGAUUUUAUAAACAAAAACUAAUUAUUUAAUCCGCUAUCUCGUACCAGUGUAUUUUAUUUUUGUAAACAAGACAAUCCAAUCCACUAGUUAAUUCAGCUCCUAGCUAGGCAUGAUACCUGACAUAAUCUGUCAUUUUUAUAAUUUGGCGGGAACUUUCAUUCGUGAGUCUAGAGCUGAAAAUUUCUUACGGAAUGUAUAUGACAGAGUGAAAUCCCUAGCUUUAAAAAAUAAUGUAGAGCAAUUAAUUAAUACGGCGUAGGCAAUGGAAGGCAGGCGAUUUGUGAGUGUACUAGUAGUAUGUAGUGUAUAAUUAUUUUGUAAAUUAACAGCGCUGCGUCUCAUGACACAGCGGAUUCGCAAAAUUAUACAUAUGUAUAUGAAGAAAUAAAUUUAUGUGAGACCAUA
Long non-coding RNA from Bombyx mori (domestic silkworm), 10193 nucleotides. RefSeq annotates it as tyrosine-protein phosphatase Lar. The record is from RefSeq and is a predicted model, not a curated record. Lineage: Eukaryota; Metazoa; Arthropoda; Insecta; Lepidoptera; Bombycidae. The transcript is spliced from 25 exons.